GCCAAAAAUAUAGCCCUCCUCAACAACCAAUGAACUUUCACACUUUAUCUUUUAAAUUAAAACAUUCUAUAGGUCUAGUAAAGGCGAUUAAAAAACCUCAUUGAGAGCAUAAAAGUACCGCAAGGGAAAACUGAAAUAAAAAUGAAAUAAAUAUUAAGCACAAAAUAGUAGAGACUAAUUCUCGUACCUUUUGCAUCAUGGUUUAACAAGUCUAAUCAAGCACAAUGACUUAUAGUUUGACUUCCCGAAACUAAGUGAGCUACUUCAGGGCAGCUUAUUGAGCAAACCCGUCUCUGUUGCAAAAGAGUGGCAAGACCCUUAAGUAGAAGUGACAAGCCUAACGAACUUAGUGAUAGCUGGUUAUUCAAGAAAAAGAUUUUAGUCCCACCUAAAGCUUUAAUAAUUUAACAAAAUAAAAUUUCAACUUUAGAGUAAUUCAAAUAGGGUACAGCCUAUUUGAAACAGGAUACAACCUAAACUAAUGGGUAAUACUUUAUUCACGUAAUCAAGUGGGCCUAAAAGCAGCCAACUUUAAGAUAGCCUCAAAGCUCCAUUUCCCUCCCCCAAAAAAUUUCCUAAAGUAAGCCGAACCCUUUAAUUCUAUUGAAUAGUUCUAUAUUGUUAUAGAAUUUAUAAUGUUAAAACUAGUAACAAGAAGAAGACCUUCUCUUAAAUGCAAGUAUAAAUCAGCAAGGACCCACCACUGAUAAUUAACACACAUGAAAUUAUAUUAGCAACCCCCCUCAAGAAAAUCCUAAUAAAUUCUAUGUUAACCUAACACAAGAGCAUUAAAAGAAAGAUUAAAAAAAAAAGAAGGAACUCGGCAAACAAUGACCCCGCCUGUUUACCAAAAACAUCGCCUCUUGAAUAAAUAUAAGAGGUCCAGCCUGCCCAGUGAUUUAUUUAACGGCCGCGGUAUCUUAACCGCGCGAAGGUAGCAUAAUCAAUUGUUCUUUAAAUGGGGACUUGUAUGAAUGGCACCACGAAGGUUGUACUGUCUCCUUUUUUUAAUCAGUGAAACUAAUCCCCCCGUGAAGAAGCGGGAAUAAAAAUAUAAGACGAGAAGACCCUAUGGAGCUUCAAACUAAAUAACAAAUAUUGUACCCCUUUUAAUUUUUCAGAGUAAAAACCUUUAUUUUUAUAUUAUGAUUAUUAGUUUUAGGUUGGGGUGACCGCGGAGUACAAUCCAACCUCCGCACUGAAAGAAUUCACUUCUGAACUAAGAGCUACAACUCUAAGUACCAAUAAAUUGACACCAUUUGACCCAAUAUUUUGACCAACGAACCAAGUUACCCUAGGGAUAACAGCGCAAUCCACUUCAAGAGACCCUAUCAAAAAGUGGGCUUACGACCUCGAUGUUGGAUCAGGGUAUCCCAGUGGUGCAGCCGCUACUAAAGGUUCGUUUGUUCAACGAUUAAAACCCU
This 1424-nucleotide ribosomal RNA is filed under the name Phyllodytes luteolus (yellow heart-tongued frog). RNAcentral's name for it is "partial 16S ribosomal RNA". It matches the Rfam family "Bacterial large subunit ribosomal RNA", at positions 379 to 2597 of the family's 2925-position model. Lineage: Eukaryota; Metazoa; Chordata; Amphibia; Anura; Hylidae. The record is from RNAcentral.